AUAUUGCAGUACUAUGACAACCUGCUAACUGUUACGCCUUCCCGAGACAUAGGAUAGGCAAGCCCCCAUUCAUUUUAUAAUAAAACAGCCCAUGUCGUCACCGCGGGACUGGGGUGCAUCCAAUCAAACGUCUCUCCUGUCAAAUCAGAACAGCUCCCAAUAGCAGGCAUCCUGAAUGGCUACUCCCUCUCCGUCCAAAAAUAAAUAAAAAUGUCCCGAAUCGGCGGGUCGAGGUCAGGAUUU
Molecule: long non-coding RNA, 243 nt
Organism: Brienomyrus brachyistius
Lineage: Eukaryota; Metazoa; Chordata; Actinopteri; Osteoglossiformes; Mormyridae
Exons: 2
Source: RefSeq, a predicted model, not a curated record